This 2104-nucleotide long non-coding RNA is filed under the name Homo sapiens (human). Its description in RNAcentral is "HSALNT0119832". Lineage: Eukaryota; Metazoa; Chordata; Mammalia; Primates; Hominidae. The record is from RNAcentral.
CAGCGGACUGUGAAAAUAUCACACUACGUGAGGCAGGCGCCGCCUCCCCAUAAAAAACCCAGAAGGGUGACUGGCAGGAGGGAGGGGAGAGGAGGAGGAGGAGGAGGGAGGAAGGCGCAGGAGGCGGAAAAAAUCCGCUCCGAGUGUCCGGCUUUUUGAAUGAGCCACGUGUUCAAACUACAAAUCAACGUCUCACGUGAGGAAUCCCAGAGCCUCAAUUAGAGUGGGUUUCGGAGAAAAAAGCGAGCGAGAGGAAGAGGGGGAGGGGAAACGAGAUUGGGAGAGGGACUCUGAGAAGGGGGAGGAGGAAGAAGGAAAAUGCUAAAGGAACCGCAGCCGGCACCAAGCGGGGCGCUGACGGUCACAACUCGAGUUUGUAAAGGGUUAUCUGGUCUGGGCGGAUCCUGGGAGGGAGGGCUGGAAUAUUGAUUUUUUUUUUUUUAAUGAGGAAAUGGGCAGAGGUACUAACAGGCAGUUCCUCAGCGCUAGUUACCGUAGUUUUAAUCAUUCGAUUUUUCAAAAUAGGUUAUUAACAACAAAACCAGAGUCACAAUCCCGAACUCGCCUGGUGGCUUUAAUGGCAUUAGAAGUGUAACCCCAGCAAAGCCGCAGGUUUUUCUUUCCUGCCAAGCGAAUCCAACAUUUUAAACGUAAACACACUUUCACAAUAAUUUCAUUCACGUUUAAUUUAAUAAAAUGUUGUUACUUUAUAAAAUAGGGGGACAGACGUGUUUUUCUGUUACAGUAUUUGUAACUGAAUUAAGAGCUCAGCCUUGAAAGAACGUUUUGGUAAAAUUUUUCUUUAAGUUUAUGGUUAGGUUGAACUUUUUAAAAGCAUUUUUUUCUUUUUUUAAAAAUAACUUUAGUUCUAAAGAAGAAAUGUAUUCUUUCUUUUGGCCUCUGUGGUAUGCAAAAUGUAAAUAUCAAAAAUUAUGGAUUUAUUUUAAAUGUACCUGUUGUAGAACAAAAGCCAUUUGGAGAAAUGUUCUACAUUCAUUCAUUUGGUAAUAUUUGCACUUCUCAAUACCACUGUAAAUUUUACAACCUGUUGAUCAUUUAACACUUUUAGUAAUUUUUCAUAAAAACAAAUUGUGUGUGUUCAGCUUGCUUCCAAAAUCAAUUCAACUAUGGCUUCUGGGUUGACUGUAUUUGCUCUUAUUAAAACUGAGACCUAAGGAAAUAUCUACUUCUAAAGCAUGGAAUAAAUUGUUUAUUUUCCAUAAAUACUAGUCCAUGCUUGUCUGGCACUAUCAAACAAAUCUAACAGCUGGAAUUUAAAACAAGUGUGUGUUUUGAUGAAAUAUGUUCCUGGGACUCCUGUUAACCUAAUCUGUGUAUUAUUGUAACAAACUGGAUAGUCCAUCUAGGACCUUAAAAACAUACAUGAGUAAUACAAGCUCAGACAUCAAAGAGAGAGGUGGAUACAGUCCACUCCACUUCCAGUCUUCCAAGCAUUUAAGGGUUGAGUCAAAAGAUCUUAGGUAGUUGUCUUGCACUAGCACUUCAAGUACAAAGAUACCUUUGGUGAAUUUUCAAGAAUGAAUAUAAAAUCAAUUUAAGUUCCAGUUUUUUUUUUUUAAUGACUCUCACACAAAUCAACUGGUUAUAGGCUACUUCAGCUUCUUCCUGAAGCAGUUGUAGCUCCUAAUUAAUGUGAACUCCACGAAGAAAGAACUCCCACCAUUUUAUGUGCUCUGGGAUGCGGCUGAGUCUUUCCAAUUGCAGUCUGUUUACUCUUUGGACAGCUGCAUCUCCUCCUUAUCUGCUGAACUGAGGACUGUACAAAUGUUUCUUGUGGGUCAGUGUAAUAUUAAAGAAUAGCUAUGUUUAGAAGGCCAGUUACCGUUGCUGUACCCACACGUCAGGGGCAAAGGCUGAGUGGGCAGAUGGGGGGCUGCCACCCCUCCUCACGCCCGGCUUGGGACCAGCCUGGAGUCUCAAGCCGAAACCCCUCACGCGGGUGGGCACACAAUGCCCGGCGUGUCGCCUGGGCCUCCUCGGAGGUGCUUUAACAGGCUCUUGCGCUUUUGAACGGCCCUCCUGGACUCUGAUCUGUUUAAACUAGAGGCGUUAAUAAGUGAUAACCUGGAUCUGCCCUCCUUGG